RNAcentral lists this ribosomal RNA (476 nucleotides) under uncultured bacterium. RNAcentral describes it as "partial 16S ribosomal RNA". It matches the Rfam family "Bacterial small subunit ribosomal RNA", at positions 30 to 506 of the family's 1533-position model. The record is from RNAcentral.
AUUGAACGCUGGCGGCAUGCCUUACACAUGCAAGUCGAACGGUAACAGGUUAAGCUGACGAGUGGCGAACGGGUGAGUAAUGUAUCGGAACGUGCCCAGUCGUGGGGGAUAACUGCUCGAAAGAGCAGCUAAUACCGCAUACGACCUGAGGGUGAAAGCGGGGGAUCGCAAGACCUCGCGCGAUUGGAGCGGCCGAUAUCAGAUUAGGUAGUUGGUGAGGUAAAGGCUCACCAAGCCGACGAUCUGUAGCUGGUCUGAGAGGACGACCAGCCACACUGGGACUGAGGCACGGCCCAGACUCCUACGGGAGGCAGCAGUGGGGAAUUUUGGACAAUGGGCGCAAGCCUGAUCCAGCCAUGCCGCGUGCGGGAAGAAGGCCUUCGGGUUGUAAACCGCUUUUGUCAGGGAAGAAAAGGUUCUGGCUAAUACCUGGGACUCAUGACGGUACCUGAAGAAUAAGCACCGGCUAACUACGU